UUUAGCUUUCGCUCUCGCACUUAUUAGUGAGGUGGGCAGAGAUAAGACAAGCAGAAACAAGGGCCGAUCUGCUGGCCGAGCUUACACUGCACAACUGCACCCCACUCCCCACCCAGUUUAGUUCGCUUUGCUCGUUCGGUCUUGUUCUUCGAAGAAGCUUUGAGCCGUCGACAGUGCGUUGUUUUUAUCACAGUUCGCCGGUUCCCCCGGUCCCUCAUUCAAAGUGAGCGUAAAAGCGGACAAUUAAAUCGUGUGUCUAUAGGUGCAUAUUGAGAAAGAAAAAAACGAAUAUUAUAAACGGCGGCACACAGUAGAAGCCGGCAAACCGUGCAGGGCGUGCGUGAUAAUAGAUUUUGUGUGCUUUGUGUUUAUCUGUGAAAACAACAAACUACCCUAACGCAACAAAAGGAAACAGCAGUUUACUGCGAAAGUGAGAUGUUGGAAAACUUUUCAAGUGAUGUUGGUAAACACACAAAAUUAUGGGCAAACAAGCGCUGGUGCUGCCAAACACUGAACAGUGUUGAGUAAAACACAACUAAAACAUCAAGAAAAAGUUGCGAUGGCAGCAGCUGGCUGGGAGGGGGGAGCAAUGCUGGAUUUCUGUUUUGAUUCGAUUUCAUAUGCGAUGUGCGCAUAGCUGCUGAAUGGUACAAAGCAUUGAUUGAUGGCUUAUUGAGAGGGCCAGCCAGGGGCGGCCCGGAGUCCCGGAGUCCCGGGAAAAAACAACGUACGUGCAACGAUGUGCAGUGCAGUCUGUGGCACCGUCUAAUGAG
This is a long non-coding RNA of Drosophila pseudoobscura, 773 nucleotides long. RefSeq lists it as uncharacterized. NCBI's taxonomy places the organism in Eukaryota, Metazoa, Arthropoda, Insecta, Diptera, Drosophilidae. The record is from RefSeq and is a predicted model, not a curated record. The transcript has 3 exons.